This 91-nucleotide transfer RNA is filed under the name Lachnellula suecica. It matches the Rfam family "tRNA". From Rfam's summary of the family: Transfer RNA (tRNA) molecules are approximately 80 nucleotides in length. The record is from Rfam by way of RNAcentral. Lineage: Eukaryota; Fungi; Ascomycota; Leotiomycetes; Helotiales; Lachnaceae.
GCGUUUGUGGUUUAGUGGUAAAAUCCAUCGUUGCCAUGAGAUUUAUCUCUUCAACUUCGAUGGGCCCCGGGUUCGAUUCCCGGCGAACGCA